GAUGAUACCAUCAAUCAACUAAAAACAAUAAAAACUUAUUCGAAACACAUUCAACUUGUCACUGAAGGGGUUGGAGCAUCAGAAGUUGUAAUCUCACUUUCAGAGGCAAUAACAGGCGCGGUAACAACUUCUGAGGGAGCAGCAAUAGGAGCAGUAUCAACUAGGCUUGAAGUGUUAACAUCAUCGAUGGAAGCAAGAGUCACGGGAAC
This 209-nucleotide long non-coding RNA is filed under the name Nicotiana benthamiana. RNAcentral describes it as "long non-coding RNA (NBEN_LNC029137)". The record is from RNAcentral. Lineage: Eukaryota; Viridiplantae; Streptophyta; Magnoliopsida; Solanales; Solanaceae.